RNAcentral lists this ribosomal RNA (393 nucleotides) under uncultured bacterium. Its description in RNAcentral is "partial 16S ribosomal RNA". It matches the Rfam family "Bacterial small subunit ribosomal RNA", at positions 523 to 918 of the family's 1533-position model. The record is from RNAcentral.
AUACGGAGGACGCGAGCGUUAUCCGGAUUCAUUGGGUUUAAAGGGUGCGCAGGCGGCCGUGCAAGUCAGCGGUGAAAGCCCGGGGCUCAACCCCGGAAGUGCCGUUGAUACUGCAUGGCUGGAAUGCGGUCGAGGCGGGCGGAACGUGGCGUGUAGCGGUGAAAUGCGUAGAUAUGCCACAGAACGCCGAUAGCGGAGGCAGCUCGCCAGGCCUGCAUUGACGCUCGGGCACGAAAGCGUGGGGAUCGAACAGGAUUAGAUACCCUGGUAGUCCACGCCGUAAACGAUGGGCGCUCGUCGUCGGCGGCAGACAGUCGGCGGCCAAGCGAAAGCGAUAAGCGCCCCACCUGGGGAGUACGGUCGCAAGGCUGAAACUCAAAUGAAUUGACGGGG